This 251-nucleotide small RNA is filed under the name Pelobates cultripes (western spadefoot toad). Lineage: Eukaryota; Metazoa; Chordata; Amphibia; Anura; Pelobatidae. The record is from RNAcentral.
GGAAGGGUGUGACUAGUGACAGAGUGAGGGAGGGUGUGACUAGUGACAGAGAGAGGGAGGGGGUGACUAGUGACAGAGUGAGGGAGGUGGUGAUUAGUGACACAGGGAGGGAUGGGGUGACUAGUGACAGUCACCACCUCCUUCACUCUGUCACUAGUCACCCCCUCCCUCACUCUAUCACUGUGUCACCCCCUUCCUCAAUCUGUCACUGUGUCACCCCCUUCCUCACUCUGUCACUAGUCCCCCAUUCC